Molecule: ribosomal RNA, 372 nt
Filed under: uncultured bacterium
Lineage: Bacteria
Description: bacterial SSU rRNA
Rfam family: Bacterial small subunit ribosomal RNA
Source: RNAcentral
AGCGAACGCUGGCGGCAGGCCUAACACAUGCAAGUCGAGCGCUCGUAGCAAUACGAGAGCGGCAGACGGGAGAGUAACACGUGGGAACGUGCCCUUCAGUUCGGAACAACCCAGGGAAACUUGGGCUAAUACCGGAUACGCCCUUACGGGGAAAGAUUUAUCGCUGAAGGAGCGGCCCGCGUCUGAUUAGCUAGUUGGUGAGGUAACGGCCCACCAAGGCGACGAUCAGUAGCUGGUCUGAGAGGAUGAUCAGCCUCAUUGGGACUGAGACACGGCCCAAACUCCUACGGGAGGCAGCAGUGGGGAAUAUUGGACAAUGGGCGCAAGCCUGAUCCAGCCAUGCCGCGUGGACGAUGAAGGCCUUAGGGUUGU